RNAcentral lists this ribosomal RNA (253 nucleotides) under uncultured bacterium. RNAcentral describes it as "partial 16S ribosomal RNA". It matches the Rfam family "Bacterial small subunit ribosomal RNA", at positions 524 to 776 of the family's 1533-position model. The record is from RNAcentral.
GACGAACCGAGCGAACGUUGUUCGGAAUCACUGGGCUUAAAGGGCGCGUAGGCGGCCAUCUAAGUCAGACGUGAAAUCCCCCGGCUUAACCUGGGAACUGCGUCUGAUACUGGACGGCUUGAGUAUGGGAGAGGGAUGUAGAAUUCCAGGUGUAGCGGUGAAAUGCGUAGAUAUCUGGAGGAAUACCGGUGGCGAAGGCGGCAUCCUGGACCAUUACUGACGCUGAGGAGCGAAAGCGUGGGGAGCGAACAGG